UAUUGUUCUACUUUUGCUUGCAGAGAGAUGUCAACCACAUGCGACUGACAAUGGCCUUCGGCAUUCUUCUUUUCUUUGCAAUAAUUGGUGAAACUGGAUCCGCUAGAGGACUUCGCCAGUACCUUAACAUACUUCAACCAAUCAAAGGAGUGGAUCCGGCCAUGUCGCCAAGGCUUUCGAUGGUUGUGAUGCAGCCGCGUUACUUCUACUGCGUGCUGUAUCCGUGGUCACGAGCGAUCAACCCAGUGUACUGUAUGCGACAAUACAAAAUAUACCAAGAAUACCUCCGACGUCGAAGCUCGUCCACAGCAAGACCAGUCAACUGGGGAUACGAUCCUGGGCUCAUCGAUCCUAGGGCGGCGUCACUGUAUAACAGACGCACCGGUGGCCGGUGAAGCGCGGCCCAGUGCGAAGGAGGCUACGUAUGAGCUUUGCUAAAAAGCGACAGUAAAGCUAGAAUUAGGCAUACAUACAUAAGCACUAAAAAUUGCGCUUCUGCAAUACCGAAAAAAUACAACACAAAUGAUUCUAAAACCCGUUACCUCACAGUAACGUAUACCAAUAUUUCCAUGCGAGGUUCAGAGAUUUAUACAUUUGGUGCGGAGGAAGUCUUACACUUUACUUGGGGCGGCUCGAAAGAGACACCACACCUGAAAAACACAGAAGCAGCAGCAGCAAACACGAGGGAACAGUGGGGGGCCCGACUGUCCAGCUCUGACCUGGCCCACCAGCAACCCCUGAUCGUCCAGGUUUGAUGAGUGUCUAAGGACAGUGGGGUUCUCGA
This is a long non-coding RNA of Rhipicephalus sanguineus (brown dog tick), 784 nucleotides long. RefSeq lists it as uncharacterized. The record is from RefSeq and is a predicted model, not a curated record. NCBI's taxonomy places the organism in Eukaryota, Metazoa, Arthropoda, Arachnida, Ixodida, Ixodidae. The transcript has 3 exons.